Molecule: small nuclear RNA, 107 nt
Filed under: Prolemur simus (greater bamboo lemur)
Lineage: Eukaryota; Metazoa; Chordata; Mammalia; Primates; Lemuridae
Source: RNAcentral
AUGCUUGCUUCAGCAGCACAUAUACUAAAAUUGGAACGAUACAGAGAAGAUUAGCAUGGCCCCUGCACAAGGAUGACACACAAAUUCGUGAAACAUUCCAUAUUUUU